ACACAAAAAAAAGUUAGCUGAUACAGUCCUUAUCGAAUAGAAAAAAAAAGUUUUGACAUCUGAAAUUUAUUUAUAUCGUUUGUGUCUGUGAUAAGAUCUUCGAUAAUAAAUAUCAUUAUUAUGUGUGUUGGGCCCCCACUAUAUUUCAUCCACUAACUCUCCCAUGCCAUAAGAUCCAAAAUCAUGAUUGAAUUACAUUUUAUUGAGUUCCAUUUACUUAACCUACUCUCCUCCAUCAUACACCCCCCCCUUUGGUUCACCUUUACAAAUCAACCAACUAAACACAUUUUGAUUUUGAGCCAAGCCAUUUUUGAUUUAUUUUUUUUCCCAUUUUGCUCUUAUUUAUCGAUGAGAAUUGUGUGUAUUUUUUGCUUUUUAAUAGUAAAAAGAGAUAGAUAGCAUAAUAUGAUCAUCAUCGUAUAAUAAUAAUGCAUAGCAUACAAAAGCAAUCAUCAUCAUCAUAUAACAUUGUGGAACACAGAGUCGUCUCACGGUUUUUCUUUACCACUUUUUUUCUCUUUCUCUCUCUCUCUCUUUCAUUGUUGCUCGAUUUAUCGAAACACACACACACAUAAAAUACAUACACAUAUAGCCAACAGCAGCAAUGAUAUAAUAAGAAAUGUUGAAAGAAUAAAAUAAAAUUCACAAUACCAUUUAUUCAGAUUCUCAUAGAUAUACUCUAUUGAAAUUUACACAUUCUUACCACAUAAUUAUAAAAUUCGAAUCGGAUUACCUAUAAACUUUUGACUAACCGAAACUUACUUGAUAAGACAAUCGCUACAUUGGAAUGGAGUUUCACCCGUAUGACGGCGCAUAUGUUCUUUGAAAUGUGAUGGAUGACGAAAAUGGCGUGAACAUUCGGAACAAAUAAAACGUGAUUUGUUCAAA
Dermatophagoides farinae (American house dust mite) is the source of this 888-nucleotide non-coding RNA. NCBI's taxonomy places the organism in Eukaryota, Metazoa, Arthropoda, Arachnida, Sarcoptiformes, Pyroglyphidae. The record is from RefSeq and is a predicted model, not a curated record.